RNAcentral lists this long non-coding RNA (240 nucleotides) under Panax ginseng (ginseng). RNAcentral's name for it is "long non-coding RNA (PGIN_LNC010232)". Lineage: Eukaryota; Viridiplantae; Streptophyta; Magnoliopsida; Apiales; Araliaceae. The record is from RNAcentral.
GGAUAGUUACACCGUGUCAAACAAUUUUGCGAAAAAGUCAAAGUUAUCUCGAAGCAAUAGGUUGACCGUGUUACAUCAUAAGAAGAUUUUCAUAUUUUUAUAUUGUUCUUGUUAAGUGUAGCUUACAAUAAAAACCAUUAAUUAAUCUAGCUACUCGAUCUGUGGGGGUCUUCUUUUUGUUUUUUCCACAUAAUUUUUUUAACAAAUACUAUAAUAAUUUUAAUUGAGUAAUUUAAUUUG